GAAUUACGUUACUGCGUCUUCUCGUUCAAAGGUUAAGGACACUAACUGCUCGAAAACCUACUUGAGCGUCCACGGUCAACCAAAUGAUUUGAACUGAACGCGAGACCAAUGGUAGUCUAGGCGAAUCGUGGACCCCUCCUUAUGUUUUGUUGCAAAGUCUACGUAAACCCAGUAAUACUCAAGUGCCAAGAGAGUAUACCUAACUACCCACCUGGUUUGUGGAAGGUUAAACCGUACUUAGUAUGAGACCUUGGACCGUUAGCGUUCAUGCACUAACAAAAGAAACUACUGUAUGAACAAAAGUCGAAGAGGAAGCUCCUAGUGGAUUAGGUAGACGCGGACCAUGAGUUCUACAACAGACUUGUAGUCACCGCACAAUUCGACAGUUUUACACGUAAACGUGUUGCAGUCCAACCUAUGAACCCUGUGUAGUAAUCGCUCGUCCCCCAGAGGUGGCUGGGCCUAUUUUAAAGUCGAUAAGUUUGAACCGGAUGAGGUUGGUUACAGUUCCUUCAGGCACCUAAGGAUCCUGACCGUCCUAUAAUGUCUUUUAAGUAGGCAGUGAUACCAUAGUGAACAGCAAGCGACUGUCAACACGAAUUUUUUCCCCAUUAGAAGGCGACCUGACUCCAACUCCUUGUUCGGAAAGUCAUAGACUUUGUUCGGGACUACAGACGGGGCCAGGAGCGUGACGGUUUAAAAUCAUUUUGGAAACACUAACGGUAACUGCGGACACUACACCCCUAUCCACUACAGGAGUACGUCCUACCAGUAGGUAACCGGAUACAAUAGUUCCGAGACCCUGGUGCUUUGGCUAGGGAGAGACACAUACUUUUCCUUAAGAACGGCUAUAACGAUCGGCACCUCGUAACCGCAGUCAUGAACGACGAUUUACUUAAGUAGUAUGUCUGACUGGUCGCGUCAAAUUGGUCAAACCGACUAGUUACAGAGGUAUGACUUACCGUCGUUUUCCGAGAGUGUUUUGAUUACCCCGAGGCAAUAGUUUAAGUCAUAUUCUUCCCGUGACUUUUAUUACGUCGGCUACGAAACAGGGCAGCGGGGGUACUAUGUCACCUUGACGUCCAGCACUGACGUCACGUUGGUCGAACCAAAAGACUGUAACGAAGAUCGAUAGUUCACCUAGUUAAGAGAGUUGUUGAAGAUGUCUUUGAUCGACGGCGGGGAAGUAGGCUGUCAUUUAAAAGAGAAUUUUUACCCGACUAAACGUGAUUCCCUACAGAGACCCACCCACGUCUACGACCAAACGUGAGAUUUUAGUAGGUUCGAAAAGUACUAAGAGGUAACCCACCCGUGAGUCCAAAGGGACAGUGUAUAGCUGCAUAAGCAGUCGAGAAAGCAACCAGAGUAUACUUUAGGUAGCAGUUCGUCAUAGACGUCGUAACGUGACAAACAGUCGUUCGAUUUGGGUUCGCUCAAGGCAUAGGACCGGAAAACGUUGGGAAUGGUUAUGGUUCAGAUAGUACCCUUUACCAGUAUUACCUAAAAUAUCUUCCGAACGGUAGAAGUCCCGCAAAGUUAACGUAGGAUCACCAGUAACUAUUCGAUAGUUUUAUACCAGUGAAGUAUGGGAAUCACGUCCAGCACCGUCUCCGAAAAGACUUAAAACAGAUGUUCGACGUACCAUACGGGAACAGGUAACAGAGACUGACACUGGCGUAAAAGUGGUCAAACAAAACCUUUCUCGACAAGGUUGCUUGUGUUCCCUGUGUUGACGCUUACUCGAGUCGGGCGGUGGGUGUUAGUCUACCAGUUUGGCUUGCACAUUUAGUCGUUCACCUCACGAUGGAAUCCACGAAACAGUCACGUGUAGGGAGGUUUACCCGUUUUACCGAUGGAAACACACUUAUGACCAUAUUAUGUUUGACCGUACGUCGAUGUAGCUUCUGAAGCAAACUCUAGUAGAUGCCCGUAGACGGAGCAGUGAAACCCUAUUGGGGACUGACGUGUCACCGAAGAGGACUAAAUCGAGAAACCGAACUGCUUGUCGUUCAAUAAAAACUUAGUCACUUUGUCGUUAACGAAGCGUGAGUUGUUGCGUACUUCCGAGUUCGACUAUUUGUAUCUUGUCUCUCUUGUAAACUCCACCCACUGGUUCAAAAAGAGUUCGAAGUCGGUAUAGAAGUCAGAAGUCAGCACGGAGCCCGGUUAGUGUUUGACCGGAUGUUUAAGAAACCAGGCAAGAGGUAUGACCUCUUUCACCCGCUCCACCGCAUAUUUAACCUAGAAGGAUGAAGAUCGUUCCAUGUUGGACAAAAGGUACAAAGAGACGAAGAGUUCCAAGAGUUUUUACUACUAGUUCACAACCGAGCCGAAGGGAGAUGACUGCUGUUGAACGCUCAUGGACUCUUUCAAGAGGUUGUUGCCCACCAAGAAGCACCUCCGUUCUUUUAAGAGGUUCACAAUAACGUCACCAGACCACUAAGACUUCUAGAACGACAAACCCUUCUGGACCUACUCGAGUUCGUCGCUAAGAGAGCGCGUAGCCGAACCCCUGUUCGGCUUAGAGGUGUCCCCCCCUAACAGUCGCUGUCUCGUGUCCUUCUCGUAGUUUCCGGGUCGGGUUCUGGGUUUGCGUUCGGAGAUGAAGGCAGAGCCGAACGUCCGGAUCUUACCCGGGAACCGGAACAUUGCUAUAUUUGUCUCACAAGGGGAAGCCCUCAUCCGCCGCCGUCUGCCGACCACCGACCGUUCCUAUCGCACACGCACACAAAGAGAGAGGAGGGAGAGCUAGGGGGAAACGGGUACCCAAACAUCGAGCUUAAACAUUAGUACCUCAUUACCUCUCCAUCGGGACUGUCUUUCUGAUACCCUAAGUUG
RNAcentral lists this ribosomal RNA (2838 nucleotides) under Triticum aestivum (bread wheat). Its description in RNAcentral is "partial small subunit ribosomal RNA". Lineage: Eukaryota; Viridiplantae; Streptophyta; Magnoliopsida; Poales; Poaceae. The record is from RNAcentral.